UAAAGGUUAGUUAGCCGAGGAGUAGGU
RNAcentral lists this non-coding RNA (27 nucleotides) under Bombyx mori (domestic silkworm). The record is from RNAcentral. Lineage: Eukaryota; Metazoa; Arthropoda; Insecta; Lepidoptera; Bombycidae.